GAGAAGAACGUAGCGAAAUGCGAUAAGUAAUGUGAAUUGCAGAAUUCAGUGAAUCAUCGAAUCUUUGAACGCACAUUGCGCCCGUCAGUAUUCUGGCGGGCAUGCCUGUUCGAGCGUCAUUACGCCCCUCAAGUCCCCUGUGGACUUGGUGUUGGGGAUCGGCGAGGCUGGUUUUCCAGCACAGCCGUCCCUUAAAUUAAUUGGCGGUCUCGCCGUGGCCCUCCUCUGCGCAGUAGUAAAACACUCGCAACAGGAGCCCGGCGCGGUCCACUGCCGUAAAACCCCCAACUUUUUAUAGUUGACCUCGAAUCAGGUAGGACUACCCGCUGAACUUAAGCAUAUCAAUAAGCGGAGGA
Molecule: unclassified non-coding RNA, 356 nt
Filed under: soil metagenome
Description: partial contains 5.8S ribosomal RNA, internal transcribed spacer 2, and large subunit ribosomal RNA
Rfam family: 5.8S ribosomal RNA (bases 3-119)
Source: RNAcentral